GGGGUCGUAGGGUAGUUUGGUAUCCUUGUAGCUUCGGGAGCUAUAGACCUCCUGAGUUCAAAUCUCAACGACCCCA
Molecule: transfer RNA, 76 nt
Filed under: Candidatus Altarchaeum hamiconexum
Lineage: Archaea; Nanobdellati; Candidatus Altarchaeota; Candidatus Altarchaeia; Candidatus Altarchaeales; Candidatus Altarchaeaceae
Also listed under: 6 other names
Description: tRNA-Pro
Rfam family: tRNA
About the family: Transfer RNA (tRNA) molecules are approximately 80 nucleotides in length.
Source: RNAcentral